UGGUUGAUAUGUCCGAUUUGAAGGAUGGUGCUUUACGUGAAAUCGUUAUGGAUGAAAGUGUCUUCGGUAUUGAAUUCAAGUCACUUAUUACAAUUGAUGACUUGGAGGAGAUUUUUAAGCAUGAUCAACUAGGCGUCACUAACAUGCACUCAUACAUCCGGUUGUUGUAUGACAGAGUGUUGCGCGGGACUCCGUUGUCUAACAGAUUCCGUUUCGUGUCUUCCGCCCACUGCAGCGGAAUGGCAAUUGCUUCGGAACCGGAAUCAGUUAGACAGCGCUUAGUAGAUAGAUUCAUGUCCACCGGCAAUACAGAAAGUCUGCAUCUUUGGGCGUAUAAUACCCGACCAGUAGGAGCACACUGGUUGCUGCUUGCUAUCAACCCUAUAAGGGAAGUCGUGUAUUAUCUGAAUUCGGUAAAUGGUGAAUGGACCAAUUAUCCGGCCAUGAAGGACAUCGUUGAUUUGUAAGUGGGAUCGUUCUAAAUAUAUAUUCGUGUAUAUUUAUAUAUUUACUUAUUUGUGGGAUUGAUCUAAACAUAUGCUUUUAUAUAUUUGUUAAUUAGAUCAAUACAAGUGUUCCGAAGUCAACGGGACGCACAGGUAUCCCGAACUAAAUCUAACAACAUUACUUGGAUCCAAGUGCAGUGUCCGCAACAGCGAAACAGUUACGAUUGCGGAUACUUUGUUUUGAGGUAUAUGAAAGAAAUCCUUCAGGCGAAUCAAUUAGAGAUUCCGCUCACGUACCUUGACGAAUUCCGUGCUACUGCGUACCCGAAGCUUAAGUUGGAAGAAAUCAAAGAAGAUUUGUGUCAAUUUUAUAUUAAGCGCUUUUUCAUGUAGGAUUUGUG
Molecule: long non-coding RNA, 847 nt
Organism: Vicia villosa (hairy vetch)
Lineage: Eukaryota; Viridiplantae; Streptophyta; Magnoliopsida; Fabales; Fabaceae
Exons: 5
Source: RefSeq, a predicted model, not a curated record